This 483-nucleotide ribosomal RNA is filed under the name uncultured bacterium. RNAcentral describes it as "partial 16S ribosomal RNA". It matches the Rfam family "Bacterial small subunit ribosomal RNA", at positions 29 to 506 of the family's 1533-position model. The record is from RNAcentral.
AUUGAACGCUGGCGGAAUGCUUUACACAUGCAAGUCGAACGGCAGCACGGGGGCAACCCUGGUGGCGAGUGGCGAACGGGUGAGUAAUACAUCGGAACGUGCCCGGUCGUGGGGGAUAACGUAGCGAAAGUUACGCUAAUACCGCAUACGAUCUGAGGAUGAAAGCGGGGGACCUUCGGGCCUCGCGCGAUCGGAGCGGCCGAUGUCAGAUUAGGUAGUUGGUGGGGUAAAGGCCUACCAAGCCGACGAUCUGUAGCUGGUCUGAGAGGACGACCAGCCACACUGGGACUGAGACACGGCCCAGACUCCUACGGGAGGCAGCAGUGGGGAAUUUUGGACAAUGGGCGCAAGCCUGAUCCAGCCAUUCCGCGGGCAGGACGAAGGCCUUCGGGUUGUAAACUGCUUUUGUAUGGAACGAAAAGGCUCUGGCUAAUACCUGGGGCUCAUGACGGUACCGUAAGAAUAAGCACCGGCGAACUACGU